This 459-nucleotide ribosomal RNA is filed under the name uncultured bacterium. Its description in RNAcentral is "partial 16S ribosomal RNA". It matches the Rfam family "Bacterial small subunit ribosomal RNA", at positions 338 to 795 of the family's 1533-position model. The record is from RNAcentral.
CCUACGGGAGGCAGCAGUGAGGAAUAUUGGUCAAUGGUCGGGAGACUGAACCAGCCAAGCCGCGUGAGGGAGGAAGGUACAGAGUAUCGUAAACCUCUUUUGUCAGGGAACAAAGGCGGGGACGUGUCCCCGGCUGAGUGUACCUGAAGAAAAAGCAUCGGCUAACUCCGUGCCAGCAGCCGCGGUAAUCCGGAGGAUGCGAGCGUUAUCCGGAUUUAGUGGGUUUAAAGGGUGCGCAGGCGGUCUGUUCAGUACGCGGUCAAAGCCCGGGGCCAAACCCCGGCCCGCCGUUGAAACUGGCAGUCGAGAGUUGGAGAGAAGUAUGCUGAAUGCGCGGUGUAGCGGGGAAAUGCAGAGAUAUCGCGCAGAACUCCGAUUGCGAAGGCAGCAUGACGGCUCCACACUGACGCUGAGGCACGAAAGCGUGGGUAUCGAACAGGAUUAGAUACACUAGUAGUC